UACACUCCUGCGGGAGGCAGCAGUGGGGAAUAUUGCACAAUGGGCGCAAGCCUGAUGCAGCCAUGCCGCGUGUAUGAAGAAGGCCUUCGGGUUGUAAAGUACUUUCAGCGGGGAGGAAGGCGAUAAGGUUAAUAACCUUGUUGAUUGACGUUACCCGCAGAAGAAGCACCGGCUAACUCCGUGCCAGCAGCCGCGGUAAUACGGAGGGUGCAAGCGUUAAUCGGAAUUACUGGGCGUAAAGCGCACGCAGGCGGUCUGUCAAGUCGGAUGUGAAAUCCCCGGGCUCAACCUGGGAACUGCAUUCGAAACUGGCAGGCUAGAGUCUUGUAGAGGGGGGUAGAAUUCCAGGUGUAGCGGUGAAAUGCGUAGAGAUCUGGAGGAAUACCGGUGGCGAAGGCGGCCCCCUGGACAAAGACUGACGCUCAGGUGCGAAAGCGUGGGGAGCAAACAGGAUUAGAUACCCCGGUAGUCCCAUG
RNAcentral lists this ribosomal RNA (476 nucleotides) under uncultured organism. RNAcentral's name for it is "partial 16S ribosomal RNA". It matches the Rfam family "Bacterial small subunit ribosomal RNA", at positions 332 to 799 of the family's 1533-position model. The record is from RNAcentral.